CUGAUGUCAACCUUUCGCUCAUAACAGAUGAAAACAUCUUGAAUGAGAAACGUUUUAAGUUAUUUGAUAGAAGAAAAGCAAAUGGAUGAUCUUAAUGUGCAUGAGUCAACAGGUCAGAGUCUAACACAGCAUACUGUUAGCCGUCCAUAGAGAGUGGAGUAGUUGUCAUUUGCAUCCUGACAGGUGAUAGAACACUGAACAAACGCUGAGUGAGUAAGGAUGACAGCUUCUUGGGAGAUGAGCACCUAACCUCUGGCAGGAGAGGCUCAGAGCAAUUAUACGUUGCUGAGGGCAUCAACACCAGGCAACACUUUACCCUCCAGCAGCUCCAGACUAGCUCCGCCUCCUGUGCUCACAUGACUGACCUUGUCUUCGGUGUCCCACUUGGCACAGCAGGU
This is a long non-coding RNA of Sinocyclocheilus rhinocerous, 398 nucleotides long. RefSeq lists it as uncharacterized. NCBI's taxonomy places the organism in Eukaryota, Metazoa, Chordata, Actinopteri, Cypriniformes, Cyprinidae. The transcript has 2 exons. The record is from RefSeq and is a predicted model, not a curated record.